Molecule: ribosomal RNA, 301 nt
Filed under: uncultured bacterium
Lineage: Bacteria
Description: partial 16S ribosomal RNA
Rfam family: Bacterial small subunit ribosomal RNA
Source: RNAcentral
CACCGCCACGGGAAUACAGAGGGUGCAAGCGUUAAUCGGAAUUACUGGGCGUAAAGCGCGCGUAGGUGGUUUGUUAAGUUGAAUGUGAAAUCCCCGGGCUCAACCUGGGAACUGCAUCCAAAACUGGCAAGCUAGAGUAGGGCAGAGGGUGGUGGAAUUUCCUGUGUAGCGGUGAAAUGCGUAGAUAUAGGAAGGAACACCAGUGGCGAAGGCGACCACCUGGGCUCAUACUGACACUGAGGUGCGAAAGCGUGGGGAGCAAACAGGAUUAGAUACCCCAGUAGUCCCUGUCUCUUAUACA